RNAcentral lists this unclassified non-coding RNA (415 nucleotides) under Hevea brasiliensis (rubber tree). Lineage: Eukaryota; Viridiplantae; Streptophyta; Magnoliopsida; Malpighiales; Euphorbiaceae. The record is from RNAcentral.
CGAUUCUUUGCUUUGGAUUAGUGGGGUUGUCUUCAUUUCUGCAGAUUUUUUGUUGUGGUUAAUGGAUUUGGAUAGUAUUGAGUGUGUAUCAUCUUCUGAUGGUCUCGAUGAAGAUGAGAUCCAUCUUCAUCACACUCUUCAUCCUUAUUCCCAUUCUCAUCAUCAUCCAGAGUUGUCAGCGACGAAGCCACGUAAUGGAAGCAAUAAUAGCGGUAUAACAGUUCCCACUGCGACUGCUCCCGCCACUAGCGUCCAUGAAUUGCUUGAGUGCCCUGUCUGUACCAAUUCUAUGUACCCUCCCAUCCAUCAGUGCCACAAUGGACAUACCUUAUGUUCUACAUGUAAAACACGGGUUCAUAAUCGUUGCCCUACUUGUAGACAAGAGCUUGGAGAUAUUAGGUGCUUAGCACUCGAG